UACAGGGGGUGCAAACGUUGUUCGGAAUCACUGGGCGUAAAGGGCGCGUAGGCGGCCGUUCAAGUCGGGGGUGAAAGCCUGUGGCUCAACCACAGAAUUGCCUUCGAUACUGGACGGCUCGAGACCGGAAGAGGUCAGUGGAACUGCGAGUGUAGAGGUGAAAUUCGUAGAUAUUCGCAAGAACACCAGUGGCGAAGGCGGCUGACUGGUCCGGUUCUGACGCUGAGGUGCGAAAGCGUGGGGAGCAAACAGG
This 253-nucleotide ribosomal RNA is filed under the name uncultured bacterium. RNAcentral describes it as "partial 16S ribosomal RNA". It matches the Rfam family "Bacterial small subunit ribosomal RNA", at positions 524 to 776 of the family's 1533-position model. The record is from RNAcentral.